Molecule: ribosomal RNA, 336 nt
Filed under: Triticum aestivum (bread wheat)
Lineage: Eukaryota; Viridiplantae; Streptophyta; Magnoliopsida; Poales; Poaceae
Description: partial small subunit ribosomal RNA
Source: RNAcentral
CCAUCGUCACUCCCCCGCGCCUCCCUCGUCUGCCGGCGCUGGCGCAGCAUCCUCUCCGAUCCCGACUUUCUCAAGCGUUUCCGCAGGCACCACCAAAAACCUCCACUGCUCGGCUUCUUCAGAGCUAAUUCAAUGAGCACAGAGCACCAAUUCAUUCCUGUGCUCGACUCGCCGGACCGCAUCCCUGCGGCCCGCUUCUCUGUGCCCAACAACAGCAACAAACACUGGAACUUCAUAGGCUGCCGCCACGGCCUCGCCAUCCUAGUCAACAUGUGGCUUCGUCAGGUGAUGGUGUGGGAUCCCCUCACUGGACAACAGCACCGUGUGGCUUGUCCA